This 448-nucleotide ribosomal RNA is filed under the name uncultured soil bacterium. Its description in RNAcentral is "bacterial SSU rRNA". It matches the Rfam family "Bacterial small subunit ribosomal RNA", at positions 26 to 513 of the family's 1533-position model. The record is from RNAcentral.
AGAACGAACGCUGGCGGCAGGCUUAACACAUGCAAGUCGAACGGUUGUAGCAAUACAGCAGUGGCAGACGGGUGAGUAACACGUGGGAACCUUCCUAGGGGUACGGAACAACUCAGGGAAACUUGAGCUAAUACCGUAUACGUCCGUAAGGAGAAAGAUUCAUCGCCCCUAGACGGGCCCGCGUAGGAUUAGGUAGUUGGUGAGGUAACGGCUCACCAAGCCUACGAUCCUUAGCUGAUCUGAGAGGAUGAUCAGCCACACUGGGACUGAGACACGGCCCAGACUCCUACGGGAGGCAGCAGUGGGGAAUCUUGGACAAUGGGCGCAAGCCUGAUCCAGCCAUGCCGCGUGAGUGAAGAAGGCCUUCGGGUUAGUAAAGCUACUUUUACCGAGGGUACGAUAAUGACGUACCUGGAGAAUAACGCCCUAGCAAACUUCGUAGCCAGCA